Notolabrus celidotus (New Zealand spotty) is the source of this 604-nucleotide long non-coding RNA. RefSeq lists it as uncharacterized. The transcript is spliced from 4 exons. Lineage: Eukaryota; Metazoa; Chordata; Actinopteri; Labriformes; Labridae. The record is from RefSeq and is a predicted model, not a curated record.
CUCACUGAAAAUACUGACAUGAUCAGUGUGUAGAAAAGGCUCCAAAGUUAUGUUAAAUCCUGUUUGAUUUCAGUUCUGUUUAAGUUAUGCUUUCACUUUCAAUGUGGGAGGAGCUUCCCCAGCUAGUGUUUGACUGUGAGUGAGUGAGGCCAUGCGGUGAUGAGAGCUGGUGCAGUGACAGACAAGUGACAAGAAGCUGGAUGUGCGUGAAUGAAAGAGAAACAAUCAAGGGAUCAAACAACUUUGCAAAACAUUACUGCAAAGUUGUAACAACAGCCCCGCUGGACGUCACUGGUGAGCCUCAUGUCUUUUAUUGUGAAGGACUUGUGGCUCACAUGACAACCUACCUUCUGCCCUACGCAGCCCUGUGGAGCGGGAUAAUGCUUGGGAACCUUGGACGGCAUGGAAAAGGAAAGGUGUACAAAGAGAACAUGAUGCAAACAUGAUGCCCUGAGAAAGCUCACAAGACAAAACAUUACACAGGACAACAACACUCAGGGAAUAAUGGAGAAGAGCCAGUGAGACCUGAAACAGAUACGUUUCAGUCAGUUCCCACAGGCUCACAAGACUGGACCAUUUUGUGGUCCAGUACCAGAAGUCCCAC